UCCCAAACUGCCAUCCCCAAAUUUUAACGGGGAAGUCUGAUCUUGUGCAAGGAGCAGAGGUUCCUUUCUGACAGCCGAAUUAAUAUUCAUUAUUCAUUAGGGAAGAAAAUGCUGAGGUGUUUAUCGUUGCUUCAUUAGAUUUAGCCAAAUACAGGCUAAACGUAAUUGCUUGCACAAACUCCUGUGGCAAGGCUUACAAUUCAUAGUCAAAAAGGAAAAUCUGGGGACCCUGCAUGGGCACGCGUGCAGGCAGCUGAAACCGAGCAGACACGGGCUUUAAGAAGUAUUUCUCCAGUCUUUGUCAUCUCCUGUUCUGUUUGUUUAUAACCAGAGGGAAAACAUAAACUAACCACUAGCAGCAGACACACCAAGCUGCUCUCUUUUUUGUCUAGCCAUUUUGCAGUUCCAGAAAGAGAAGUGCUGGCUCAGAAAGCAGCUCAAAAUUCAUCGAGAGGCGCAUCCAAAGCUUGGCGAAACUAUUGAUAACUGCAUUUUUCCUGUCUUUCCUCAGCAUUUCCAUGAGUGCGGCAUCAUCUGCCUGGAGUUCAGGCUUUCGCAUCUCUCCCAGUAAAGGUGGGGGAAAUAAAGCAGGGGAAGAAGAAUUCCUCAUUUUCUCUAUUUAACGAGCAUUGUGUUUUGUUCUGGUUUAUUACAACUGUGCCCAUGGUGGAACCAGAGGGGGCUGAGCUUCACAUGAGCCCACACAGGGAUGGAGCAGAGAGGGGCCAGCAGCAUCCACCGGUGCCCACGCUCAGUUUUAGGGAUGGAGAACUGAAACCCAGACUCUCUUCUGGCUCCCAAUUCUCACUUCCCACACUUAAUUAAACUAAUCAAGGCUUCCCCCUCCCCCUCAGCUUCCCUGCCAAUAAAGGCAGCAGCACAGGGCAGGGUGGUGGAUGUGGUGCCCUGGGAAGCUGUGUCUGACCCCAGCCCUGUGCCCUCGGAUGCUCUGCGGAUGGCAGGUGGGAUUGGAGCUGCUUUGUUUCCUCUGGUUGCCAGAAAAGGGAAAAUGAGCAGCGUUUGGCCUGGAGAUGCUGUCUGGGCACAGCCCUUCUCCGUGGGCUCAGCGCCCCUCCACACCCCUCCUCGGUUCGGCUUCCCGGCUGCUGUAAUCUCUUUAGAGCAGGCUCGGCAUGAAGAUAACGACGCCUUUGAUGGCUGGAACCCGUUAUGAUCAUGCACUGCUUGGUCAUGUCAGGGAUAAAAAUAACUUCUGUAUUUUCAAGAAAGGCAAGGCU
Molecule: long non-coding RNA, 1238 nt
Filed under: Anas platyrhynchos platyrhynchos (common mallard)
Lineage: Eukaryota; Metazoa; Chordata; Aves; Anseriformes; Anatidae
Description: lncRNA (ENSAPLG00000025187.1)
Source: RNAcentral